RNAcentral lists this ribosomal RNA (492 nucleotides) under uncultured bacterium. Its description in RNAcentral is "partial 16S ribosomal RNA". It matches the Rfam family "Bacterial small subunit ribosomal RNA", at positions 30 to 507 of the family's 1533-position model. The record is from RNAcentral.
AGUGAACGCUGGCGGUAGGCCUAACACAUGCAAGUCGAACGGCAGCACAGUAAGAGCUUGCUCUUACGGGUGGCGGGUGGCGGACGGGUGAGGAAUACAUCGGACUCUACUUUUUCGUGGGGGAUAACGUAGGUAAACUUACGCUAAUACCGCAUACGACCUACGGUUGAAAGCAGGGGAUCUUCGCGCCUUGCGCGAUUGAAUGAGCCGCUGUCGGAUUAGCUAGUUGGCGGGGUAAAGGCCCACCCAGGCGACGAUCCGUAGCUGGUCUGAGAGAAUGAUAGGCGACAUGAGAAGGGGGACACGGACAAGAGGCCUAAGGGAGGGAGCAGAGGGGAAUAUUGGACAACAGGGGGGAGCAUGACACAGCCAGACCGCGUGGGUGAAAAAAGCGUUGGGGGUGUGAAGACCUUUUGUUGGGAAAGAAAAGCAGCAGGUUAAGACCCCGCUGGUCUGACGGUAACCAAAGAAGAAGCACCGGCUAACUUCGUG